GAAGUACUUAAAAAAAAAAAAAAACUAGAUAUGAUGCCCAGAUCUUAGCAAGUCACCUUGGAUCUGGCUGUGAUUCAAAUGGCCACAACGGUUGGACAAGCCUCUGAGCUGAUGGACUACCAAGUAACAUAGCCUGAGAUCGAGUCAGCAUCUCUGUCAUUGAUGGGGUUUGAUAAGCCCGAACGAGACUUGAACCAUCAGUUGAGUCUCCUCUUGCUGUUGCUCUUUGCCAUGAGUGUGAGCUCAGACCUGAAAGAAUAUAAGCUCUUCCAGAUGCUUCAUAUACAUGCCUACUUGCCAUCCUCUCUUGCAUCUCCUUGAGCUCUGCAUCUAAUGCAAUGCAUAAUCGAUCAUGGGAUUUAGCUGAUAUAGUUUCUGACAAAACCCUUUGGCAAUUUUCAAGGAUAGAAACUGCACCAGCCAGAUCUCCCUGCUCAGCUGCAGUUUUUGCCUGUGACAUUGCCUCAGCUGCUUGAAGUCUGUUGUGUUGCCUGUCCACUUCGAUCGAGACGGCUGCUUCUCCAGAUAUUUCAGGUCUCUCAAGCCUAACUUCUUCAGUUUCUAAUGUUGCCAUUUCUUUAGUUAGAGGAUCCUUGUAAACACAUCUCACCUUCAUGAGUGGUGUUUGAUUCCCGGAAGACUCAGCUGGGACAUUGACUGAAACCAGAAAAUCCCUCUCUUCAUCAGCAUACAGAUCUCCAACAUCAAUAAAUCCUAUGCGAGCAUCAGCCAUCACACGACUUGGAUAACUUCCUGCUUUCAGUGAGCCAAGGUGGAUACUUGGGUGCACACACUCCACUGCCACCUGCAGCUCCUGCACCACAACGCUUAAAAGUCCCCCAAUGCAUUGUGCAAAUGCGUCCUGGAUCACAGCUUCAGUCUCAAUGAAAGAGAAGGUGCCUCCUGAAAUUUCUGAAAUUGAAUGCAUUGAUGAAGCAUCAUGAUCUGCACCAAAGCCAAAAGCAUGCACUGGAAUCUGGAACCCUGCUGUGUCACCACCAAUAGGCAAAGGGAGAAGCAACUGAUAAUUUGGAGAAGGUUGGUUACUACCAGAACCACUGACAGUAUAAGUAUCCUGCCCAUCUGAUAGCAGUAUUAUACUUGCCACAGGAUUCUUUUCCCUUCGGUCUUCCAUUACUUUCGCUCCCUUUCUCAGGCCUUCAGCAAUAUUAGUUCCACCAUUUGCAACCAAAGAAUUGACAGCUUGAAGUGCAUGCUGACGGCCCGUAUCAGACAUUCGACGGAGGGGGAAGAGGCGGCGGGCAGUGGAAGAAAAGGCGAUAACUGAGAGCCUGUCAUUGGAGCCAAGGUUCUGUAUUACGAACCCCAUGGCUCGUUUUAGCAAUGCUAGCUUUGUACCUGCCAUGCUACCACUGAUGUCAAGCACUGUGACUAGGUCGACUGGGGCACGAGGAGUUUGAGAGAGUUGAGGCAAGCUAGCCUGGUUUCUUCUGGGAUCUUGUCUUAUAAUUGUAGCAGCAGCUUUAAGAUUGACCAAGACAGUGAAGUUAUCAUACAACUUGGAUCGUGAUGCAGCCGAAACUUCUGGGAUUGUCUUGAUCUCUAUAGUUCUAGCAGAAGUGUAAUCUGCAGCAUUUUUAUUGCCAGUACUUCUAUCAGUGAACACAGGUUGGAGAUCUAAGGAUUCAUCAUCGUCAAAUACACUAGGUUCAGGAGAUUGAAGUAAUGGAACAAUGUGCCUUCGAUUCAAAUCUCGACGAGGAGGAGGUAACCGACGAACCACAGUCAUCAAAGCAUCAUUUCGAGGCCAACCUACUGCAUUGAUGGAUCCUCUUCCGGGCAAAGGGUCCAAACUGGGAGCCUGCAAGGGGAUUUCUUUCCAUUUUGCUCGGCAAACUGGACAAAUUUGGUUACCAUGUUUUACAUUUGAAGCAAUGCAAUGGAAAUGGAAGGAAUGUGAGCACUCAGCAGUGAAAAUAGCAUGUCCACCUCCUUGUUUCAUCUUGGUCAGGCAUAUCGAGCAGGUUUGCUUUGAUGAUUUGCUUCCACUCUUGGACAACCUUAAACCAUGUGAAGAUGGUGUAGGUGUCAUUGGCCUUGAGUCCCAAUUCGUAGGUGAAAGCAAAGCAGCAUCAGAUAGUCUCUCACUUGAGGGUGGCGGUGAAUCCUCUAGAGUUCUUGGUACAUACGUACAAAGAUUUAGACGCAAAGCUAACUUUGGUUUUCUCCAUUUGCUUCCCAUUUUACUUGAACUUCGACUUCAAAGUGAAAUCUUUCCAAAGAUUCAAGAAACGUAACAAGAAUCCAAGAAGUACAAUUUAACAACUCAAGAAACCAAAAGCAAGAAUGAAGAAAAAACAGAUCUCAAAAUGCUUUGAGCCAAGCAGCUUUCUUUAUUUUCUUGUUUUCUGGUUUCUUCUUUCUUGGAAUGGGAGAGAUAAUGGGUUUUUAACAAAAGUGCAAUGGAACACGAAAACCAAGAGGGGGAGAGGUCUAAUUUUGCUCUACUUUUUCAAGAGGGAAUUGUUUUGAGGGCAUAUUUCAUAGAGAAAUGUGGGUUUGAAAGGCUGAAAAGAUGUCAAAGGAAGGGACUGAGUCGCAACGGACGGAUGGGUUGAGAGUAGAGAGCAGACAUAGUCUUGACAAUGGUGUUCUUGACCGCCAUUGGAGAGAGAGAACGAGAGGGAAAGGUGGAUUCUUGAGAGAGUUGAGAGAGGAUUUUGACCUUUGGUGGCGUUGUUGGCUU
RNAcentral lists this unclassified non-coding RNA (2707 nucleotides) under Hevea brasiliensis (rubber tree). Lineage: Eukaryota; Viridiplantae; Streptophyta; Magnoliopsida; Malpighiales; Euphorbiaceae. The record is from RNAcentral.